Molecule: microRNA precursor, 103 nt
Filed under: Marmota monax (woodchuck)
Lineage: Eukaryota; Metazoa; Chordata; Mammalia; Rodentia; Sciuridae
Source: RNAcentral
GGUGAAAUUGCUAGGUCAUUUGGUAAUCCUACAAUCAACCUUUUGAAGAACUGCUAAACUGUUUUCCACAGUAGUUAUACCAUGUUACACUUCUACCAACAAU